This is a long non-coding RNA of Plectropomus leopardus (leopard coralgrouper), 231 nucleotides long. RefSeq lists it as uncharacterized. The record is from RefSeq and is a predicted model, not a curated record. Lineage: Eukaryota; Metazoa; Chordata; Actinopteri; Perciformes; Serranidae.
UGCAUCUCUUCUUUACGUUUUAAUGAACAAUGAAAUGCUUGGAACGCCCAUCAAACUCACUGGACUGCAAUUGUUUGAUCAUACGGACCAGGGGCCCCAAGGCUAUCUCUUUGCUUGAGGGUGGUAGCAGUUGCAGAAAAAGCUGUUAAGGAAUCCAUAUGGUUGGCCCAGUAAAUGACCCUGAAGCCCAGCAGGUUGCCGUUCAGAGCAUCUUUGGGAGGGGUCAGCCAG